CGGUUUCUUAAGUCUGAUGUGAAAGCCCCCGGCUCAACCGGGGAGGGUCAUUGGAAACUGGGAAACUUGAGUGCAGAAGAGGAGAGUGGAAUUCCACGUGUAGCGGUGAAAUGCUAAGAGAUGUGGAGGAACACCAGUGGCGAAGGCGACUCUCUGGUCUGUAACUGACGCUGAGGAGCGAAAGCGUGGGGAGCGAACAGGAUUAGAUACCCUGGUAGUCCACGCCGUAAACGAUGAGUGCUAAGUGUUAGGGGGUUUCCGCCCCUUAGUGCUGCAGCUAACGCAUUAAGCACUCCGCCUGGGGAGUACGGUCGCAAGACUGAAACUCAAAGGAAUUGACGGGGGCCCGCACAAGCGGUGGAGCAUGUGGUUUAAUUCGAAGCAACGCGAAGAACCUUACCAGGUCUUGACAUCCUCUGACAACCCUAGAGAUAGGGCUUUCCCUUCGGGGACAGAGUGACAGGUGGUGCAUGGUUGUCGUCAGCUCGUGUCGUGAGAUGUUGGGUUAAGUCCCGCAACGAGCGCAACCCUUGAUCUUAGUUGCCAGCAUUCAGUUGGGCACUCUAAGGUGACUGCCGGUGACAAACCGGAGGAAGGUGGGGAUGACGUCAAAUCAUCAUGCCCCUUAUGACCUGGGCUACACACGUGCUACAAUGGACAGAACAAAGGGCUGCAAGACCGCAAGGUUUAGCCAAUCCCAUAAAUCUGUUCUCAGUUCGGAUCGCAGUCUGCAACUCGACUGCGUGAAGCUGGAAUCGCUAGUAAUCGC
Molecule: ribosomal RNA, 769 nt
Filed under: Bacillus sp. T052-4
Lineage: Bacteria; Bacillati; Bacillota; Bacilli; Caryophanales; Bacillaceae
Description: bacterial SSU rRNA
Rfam family: Bacterial small subunit ribosomal RNA
Source: RNAcentral